AGGACGAACGCUGGCGGCGUGCCUAACACAUGCAAGUCGAGCGGAGUUAACAAGAGGAAGUUUCGGAUGGAAUUUGUAAUUAGCGGCGGACGGGUGAGUAACGCGUGAGCGACCAACCUUGCACAGGGGGAUAACGGACCGAAAGGUUCACUAAUACCGCAUGAGACCACGGUGUUGCAUGACGCAGAGGUCAAAGGAGCAAUCCGGUGCAAGACGGGCUCGCGUCCGAUUAGGUAGUUGGUGGGGUAAUGGCCCACCAAGCCUAUGAUCGGUAGCCGACCUGAGAGGGUGAUCGGCCACAUUGGAACUGAGAUACGGUCCAAACUCCUACGGGAGGCAGCAGUGGGGAAUAUUGGGCAAUGGGGGGAAAAACCCCCUGACCCAGCAACGCCGCGUGAAGGAAGAAGGUUUUCGGAUUGUAAACUCCUGUCCUUGGUGAAGAGAAGAAGACGGUAGCCAAGGAGGAAGCCCCGGCUAACUACGUGCCAGCAGCCGC
This 496-nucleotide ribosomal RNA is filed under the name uncultured bacterium. RNAcentral describes it as "bacterial SSU rRNA". It matches the Rfam family "Bacterial small subunit ribosomal RNA", at positions 26 to 518 of the family's 1533-position model. The record is from RNAcentral.